CGAAAUUCCUUGUCGGGUAAGUUCCGACCUGCACGAAUGGCGUAACGACUUCCCCACUGUCUCGACCAGGAGCUCGGCGAAAUUGCAGUACGAGUAAAGAUGCUCGUUAAGCGCAGAAGGACGAAAAGACCCCGGGACCUUUACUAUACCUUGGUAUUGGCAUUCGGUGUGGAUUGUGUAGCAUAGGCGGGAGGCCGAGAGGCGCGGUCGCCAGAUCGCGCGGAGCCGUAAGGUGAAAUACCGCUCUGUUCGCAUUGGAUGUCUAACCUCGAACAGUCAUCCUGUUCAGGGACAGUGCCUGGCGGGUAGUUUAACUGGGGCGGUUGCCUCCCAAAGAGUAACGGAGGCGCCCAAAGGUCCGCUCAGCCCGGUUGGCAAUCGGGUGGCGAGUGCAAGUGCACAAGCGGGCUUGACUGCGAGGACGACGGUCCGAGCAGGGACGAAAGUCGGGACUAGUGAUCCGGUGCCGGUGUACGGACGCGGCAUCGCUCAACGGAUAAAAGGUACCCCGGGGAUAACAGGCUGAUCAUUCCCAAGAGUCCAUAUCGACGGGAUGGUUUGGCACCUCGAUGUCGGCUCGUCGCAUCCUGGGGCUGGAGCAGGUCCCAAGGGUUCGGCUGUUCGCCGAUUAAAGCGGCACGCGAGCUGGGUUCAGAACGUCGUGAGACAGUUUGGUCUCUAUCCUCUGCGCUCGUUGGAAUGCUGAGGAGGCCUGCCCAUAGUACGAGAGGACCUGGGUGGACGGACCUCUGGUAUGCCGGUUGUCACGCCAGUGGCACGGCCGGUUGGCUACGUUCGGAAGGGAUAACCGCUGAAAGCAUCUAAGCGGGAAGCCUGCUCCAAGAUAAGCAUUCCGUGGAACCUUCGAGUUCCUGUAGUCCCCAUGCAGAACACGUGGUCGAUAGGCCGGACGUGGAAGCCCCGCGAGGGGUGGAGCCGACCGGUACUAACGGACGAAAGGCAACACUAA
This 970-nucleotide ribosomal RNA is filed under the name human gut metagenome. RNAcentral describes it as "bacterial LSU rRNA". It matches the Rfam family "Bacterial large subunit ribosomal RNA", at positions 1960 to 2925 of the family's 2925-position model. The record is from RNAcentral.